Molecule: long non-coding RNA, 1335 nt
Organism: Macrobrachium nipponense
Lineage: Eukaryota; Metazoa; Arthropoda; Malacostraca; Decapoda; Palaemonidae
Exons: 3
Source: RefSeq, a predicted model, not a curated record
UACUCACAGAUGGCGUCCAAGGGAGGAGGAAGAUUCCGCUAGGUCGGGGCCACCGAGUAGCCCCACCAGCCACCAGUUCACUUUGUGUUUACCUGUCUGUCAGUGUAUAUAAGCCCUCGUCGAAGGAGGAGAGAGGGCCAGUCUCGAACCACUCUCACUCACAUUUAAAGAGUUGUGGUGCCUCUCGCCGCUGCCAUUCACCUCUCGCGAGAGAAGGACGGAUUUAACUUUGACUCAUCUCGCCGCCUUCGGGUCUUCUCCGACGGAUAGAGAGUGUCCUCGCACGCUUUUCAUUCACAGUACCGAAGAUAAUGGGGAAAUACGUCGCGUUGCUGGCUCUGGUGCUCUUGACUUUGGUGGUCGUGAGUCAGGCUCUGCCGUCACCACAAUAUGCGAGAGCUGACUGCGACGACGAAAGCAUCACCCAGGCACCGAAGUCCAUCUGCUCUUGGCCAAUGUCAAUCAUCUGCAGAUUCUUCUUUCCAAAGGACAGAUAUUACAAUUCCAGGCAGCUCGACAUUCCACUCCAUACGAGCAGGUAGUGAAAGUCCGUCGACGCUACGCCUGCCGAAUGAGAAUUUGGUUACUGCUGUUGUUUUUUCUUUUUUUAUGAACGUUAUGGGCUGUUCUUAACUUACGGACCACUAUACACUUGAGUACCUGUAUUGAUUGUUUUGUAGGGAAUAUGGAUAACGUUAUAUCAUACAUAUAUGAUUCUAACGCGAAAUAACGGAUUCCUUUGCUUGUUUACAGCGUCUGCACAAGGUUUAAUGCAUCCUCCGCUAGAAAAAAAACAAUGUAAAUUAAGGAAAGCAAUAAUAAAACUCUUGAAUGGAAGAAAUAAAUUCCAAGCUGUGUAAAACAGCAUCAAGAACGAAUAGGUGAACAAAAUGUCGUAAAAAUAACUGCUGUCAAAAUAUAUAAAAAAAAAAAUUAAAGUAAGGAUCUAAUCAUAACAAAGUCUCCUCAUUUUAUAAGGGAGAAAAUUUGUAUGAACGAAAGGAGCGACCUUUGUUCUGUCUAACCAUCUUGAAGAUUACGUGAACUUUCAUGAGAACUUACCGGUGAAACCAGUCGCUGAAAAGAAAUAGGAUUAAAUCUUUUUCUUAUCUUUUCUCUUCUUUAUUUAUUUUUUUAAUCGCUUUGUUAUAGUGUGGGUAUAUUUUCUUUCUCUUUAAUAUGCCAAUUUUAGAUGUAAGAUGUUACAAACUUGUUACUGUUAUCUUGUAAAUAAUCUAUUUUAUAAUAUCAUCACAUGACUGCUGCUUUUUACAUAAUGAAUAACCACUGACACGUUUCCAUUGUCAUUCAUUUCGAAAUAAACGGAUAUUUAAU